AUACGUAGGGGGCGAGCGUUGUCCGGAAUGAUUGGGCGUAAAGGGCGCGUAGGCGGCCCGGUAAGUCUGGAGUGAAAGUCCUGUUUUUGAGAUGGGAAUUGCUUUGGAAACUGUCGGGCUUGAGUGCAGGAGAGGUAAGUGGAAUUCCCAGUGUAGCGGUGAAAUGCGUAGAGAUUGGGAGGAACACCAGUGGCGAAGGCGACUUACUGGACUGUAACUGACGCUGAGGCGCGAAAGUGUGGGGAGCAAACAGGAUUAGAUACCCUGGUAGUCCACACUGUAAACGAUGAAUGCUAGGUGUAGGGGGUAUCGACCCCUUCUGUGCCGCAGUCAACACAAUAAGCAUUCCGCCUGGGGAGUACGGCCGCAAGGUUGAAACUCAAAGGAAUUGACGGGG
Molecule: ribosomal RNA, 397 nt
Filed under: uncultured bacterium
Lineage: Bacteria
Description: partial 16S ribosomal RNA
Rfam family: Bacterial small subunit ribosomal RNA
Source: RNAcentral